This 412-nucleotide ribosomal RNA is filed under the name uncultured bacterium. Its description in RNAcentral is "bacterial SSU rRNA". It matches the Rfam family "Bacterial small subunit ribosomal RNA", at positions 958 to 1392 of the family's 1533-position model. The record is from RNAcentral.
AACGCGAAGAACCUUACCAACCCUUGACAUCGCAGGACCGCCCCGGAGACGGGGUUUUCUCGUAAGAGACCUGUGGACAGGUGCUGCAUGGCUGUCGUCAGCUCGUGUCGUGAGAUGUUCGGUUAAGUCCGGCAACGAGCGCAACCCACACCCUUAGUUGCCAGCAUUCAGUUGAGCACUCUAAGGGAACUGCCCGUGAUAAGCGGGAGGAAGGUGUGGAUGACGUCAAGUCCUCAUGGCCCUUACGGGUUGGGCUACACACGUGCUACAAUGGUGGUGACAAUGGGUUAAUCCCCAAAAGCCAUCUCAGUUCGGAUUGGGGUCUGCAACUCGACCCCAUGAAGUCGGAAUCGCUAGUAAUGGCGCAUCAGCUACGGCGCCGUGAAUACGUUCCCGGGUCUUGUACACACCG